Long non-coding RNA from Gavia stellata (red-throated loon), 423 nucleotides. RefSeq lists it as uncharacterized. The record is from RefSeq and is a predicted model, not a curated record. Lineage: Eukaryota; Metazoa; Chordata; Aves; Gaviiformes; Gaviidae. The transcript is spliced from 3 exons.
CUCAUCGGCGAGCGCUGUAAAACCACUUCCGUCUGCAGGGCUCACCGUGCCGCAGAGUCUCCUCUUUUAUUAACAAAAUACCGCUUACCUUGCGACACGGAAUCACCAGGAUAUCCCGAACAGCUGUCUAGCAGCGUUUUCAGGGAACUGCUUUGUCCUUAUGCUGCUUCGCCCCUGCGUCGAAGAAGAAUGGCUGUAACCGCAGGUGCUGAAACUACAUUUCAUGGUACUUGUGAAGCAUGGCACCCACUGCCGGAGUUAGUGCUGUCGGACACACACCUGCGGUUGUCCUGCCUCAGAAGAAAACGAAAAUCACGGGCAGCACGGAUAUGGAGAGGGAAAUAAAUCGCUGGAAAGAAGCGCCCGGAAUGAACGAGCAGGACUGGGGGUUUGGCGCCGCUCUUCCCAGCCAGCGAGAGCCUG